GAUUUCUGGGCAUCAGUUUCUGGCCGGCCACGGUUUCGUGUGUUAGUGCUUGAAGCUUUGUCCAUCCUUCCAAUUGCUAGCUACUAUUCUUCAUUGAAUGGUAGUUAGUAUUGGAUCUUUUACUUUGAAAAAAUUAGAGUGUUUCAAGCAGGCUUUAUGCUAUGAAUACAUUAGCAUGGAAUAAUAACUUAGGACUUCGGUUCUAUUUUGUUGGUUUCUAGGACUGAAGUAAUGAUUGAUAGGGAUAGUUGGGGGUGCUAGUAUUGGCCGGCCAGAGGUGAAAUUCUUGGAUUCGGUCAAGACUAACUUAUGCGAAAGCAUU
RNAcentral lists this ribosomal RNA (322 nucleotides) under Sandona sp. Its description in RNAcentral is "SSU rRNA". The stretch from base 112 to 322 matches the Rfam family "Eukaryotic small subunit ribosomal RNA", at positions 744 to 955 of the family's 1831-position model. Lineage: Eukaryota; Cercozoa; Glissomonadida; Sandonidae. The record is from RNAcentral.